UUAUUCAAUUUUAUUUCAAGAUUUCUUGCCAAUAGAGAAAGAGCUGGAUUCUAGCCUAGAUCCAAGGGUCUUUCAUUGGAAUUACAACAACAUUGACAGGGUAUUUUUCUAUGUAUGUAUGUAUGUAUGUAUGUAUGUAUGUAUGUAUGUAUGUUUGCAGUCGUGUAUGCUUGUCAAGAGCAGGGCUCAUUAGCCACCAACGGAGCUGCAAAUGCAAAAUAUAAGUUAGUCCCAGAACGCACAAUGUUCCUGAAGGUCGGCAAUGGACUUCCUCGGUCACGAGUGGACGGCCAUCAUGCAUGUAUCUACAGUAUUUGGUGGCAGUACAUGUGCAGUCAUUUGACCACAGCCAUGCUGGAGCACUGCCUUGAACGGCUUUAGUCGAACAAAUCGACCCCAGGACUUAUUUCUUAAACCUAGUACUUAUUUUAUUGGUCUCUUUUGCUGAACUGCUAAGUUACAGGGAUGUAAACACACCAACAAGAGUUGUCAAGCGAUGGUGGAGGGAGAAACACAGACACAAAGAUAUAUAAAUAUAUAUCUGAAACUUGGAGUUUUAUCAUGGCUAUUGAAUAAUUGUCACAUAUUAUUUACAGAUAAAUUCCUCUAUUUACAUAA
Molecule: long non-coding RNA, 618 nt
Organism: Octopus bimaculoides (California two-spot octopus)
Lineage: Eukaryota; Metazoa; Mollusca; Cephalopoda; Octopoda; Octopodidae
Source: RefSeq, a predicted model, not a curated record